RNAcentral lists this ribosomal RNA (216 nucleotides) under Glomeromycotina sp. Its description in RNAcentral is "partial small subunit ribosomal RNA". The stretch from base 40 to 216 matches the Rfam family "Eukaryotic small subunit ribosomal RNA", at positions 686 to 864 of the family's 1831-position model. Lineage: Eukaryota; Fungi; Glomeromycota. The record is from RNAcentral.
GGGUCAGUAGGUUGGUCGUGCCACCGGUACGUACUGGUCUCACUGAUUCCUCCUUCCUGAAGAACCGUAAUGCCAUUAAUUUGGUGUUGCGGGGAAACAGGACUGUUACUUUGAAAAAAUUGGAGUGUUUAAAGCAAGCUAACGCUUUAAUACAUUAGCAUGGAAUAAUGAAAUAGGACGAUCGAUCCUAUUUUGUUGGUUUCUAGGAUUGACGUA